GGGAGUAACAUCCCUCAUCUUAGAGUCAACGACGGUCGCAAACUACUAGCGUUGAAUGGCAUCCGGACAGAAACGAAAGGCUUCGUCUAUGUUGACGACUGUCCGUACGAAGGUGCAAGAAAGAACAUGCUGAU
This 134-nucleotide non-coding RNA is filed under the name uncultured Nitzschia. The record is from RNAcentral. Lineage: Eukaryota; Bacillariophyta; Bacillariophyceae; Bacillariales; Bacillariaceae.